This 3917-nucleotide unclassified non-coding RNA is filed under the name Leishmania donovani. Its description in RNAcentral is "gene:LdHU3.32.1310(CDS-product:CLASP_N_inal_putat ive)". Lineage: Eukaryota; Euglenozoa; Kinetoplastea; Trypanosomatida; Trypanosomatidae. The record is from RNAcentral.
CGGCCGCGGUGGGGCGAGGCACGCUCGCCCCUUCACACUGACGCUGAUGUCUCCCGCUGCUAACACAACCGUCGAAUCAGCACACUGCACCUCGUCUCCGCUUCUGAGACGCCGUCGGACAGCCGACCAGCGGAGGUCGGGAAGGGCUGUGCGCCGCACUGUUGUGCAGCCGAUCUCCCCUCCCCCCUACCCUCGUGAGAAGCGGCGAAUGAAGCUGCUUCCAAGACACCUAAAGCGCGCACGUAUCCCAGAGCAACACGCAACGGUGCACACCGCAAGACCACGACCAUCAUGGCGCACACAUCAAGCGUGGCAUUGACGGAUGAGGAGGUGCUGCGACGCGUGCAGCUGCUCGGCGACGCAAUCGCCGAGGAGCAGCGGCAAACUAAGCCUUCGGUCGGCCUGCGGCAGCCGUCGCGGGACUGGCACAUUCAGGUUCGGCUGCUGGAGGAGGUGACGUGCUUGCUCGCCGACGACAUCUCCGGCCGCCGCGCCUUUGUGGGGUGGAUGUCCCUCUACAUGAGGAAUUGCCUGCUGCACGCGCUGCAGAGCCGGCGCGCACCAAUCGCGUUGGCAGCGGUGAACGCUGUGGGAACGGUCGUUCAACAUGGCGCCUGUCGCGCUGCUGUUGCAGUCGUGUGCUCUUGGUUUCUCGCCUGCCUUGUGCGGCUCGCCGCGAGCUCCUCUGCAACGUCGGCGGUUUCCGCCGCGGCAAUGUGUGUGCUCCUCUCCAUGGCACAGAAAUGUGUGCUUACCCUCGAGGGUGUGAACAGCCUCUUGUGUGACUGCGGUGCUCCCAGUGCAGCCGUGCGCCGGCGUUCUCUUGAGGUUCUGCGCUCCUACCUGGAAGCGGCCAAGGGGACAUCAGCCCAGCUGUCUGUCAAAGCCUACACUGAGGCGGUCCGCCGCGUGAUCAGCGAUCGCAUGCGUGACGCCGACGCCGAGGUUCGGCGUGCGGCGCGGCGGUGCUUCUGGGCCCUGCAUGUCUUGGAACCCGCGUCUACAGGGGCGCUGCUUCGCGUACUGCCCGCGGGUCUGCAGCGUCAGCUGGCCGCUGAACGCGCGGAUGCGAUGCAGGAACUCAAAGCAGUGGAGCUCCCGCCGGCACCGCCUACGUCGCCGUCGUCGGCUCUGAGGAGUGGCCGCGCUGCGCACCGGAAUCCACACGCUUUGGACGCCGCACACGCGUCCCGCACCGUCACGUUAAAGGAUGAUCUGCAAAGCGCAGUGGCGUGCCGUGCGCGCGCGGUCACGCCACGCUCCACGUCUCCAAGCAAGGCACGUCGGCAGCUGUUGCGGUCGGCAAAGGAGGCGGCCGCCCACCAGCAGAGGCGCACUAUGCUUCCGACGCCGCAUUUGUGCGCAAGUGGACCGGGUACCUUCGCCACAGGUGCUGGAUCUACGCGCCUUUACGCCGCAUCGCGUCGUGCCGGUGGUGGCACGUCCUUGCUCACAUCGAUGGAAAGCACCGACUGGUCCAUCCGGCGUGCUGCCGUCCUUGAAGGGCAGAGGCUGUGCGAGAGCGGGUCCUUAAUGAGCGAGGACAUCGCCCAGUUACUGACAGGGCUGCUCAUUCGUGUUCAGGAUAUUCAUUUUCGCGUUGUGGAGGCGGCACAAAAUUUUCUGCGCACGCUGAUGGCGCGGGCACCAACGGCAACGCAGAACGAGUUUCAAAGCCUGCUGCCCUUCCUGGUGAGUGCCCUCGUUCGCAACACGAGCCACGCUCGACCGGUCGUGCGUGCUGGUGCUCGUCACUUGCUCGACCGCAUUGCGCGCACCCAUGAACCCCCGCUGGAGGUGCUGAAAGCGGUGCUGCGCGCCGCGGACGACGUCGGCGGCGGCAGCGCCGCCAUGGAUCAGCGCUGCGCGGAGCUCCUCCAUUAUGUGAUCGUGGUACAUCCCUCUCUUUUCGCUGAGACGUCGUCGAUGGGCAUCGCUGUACGGGGCAUUCUCGCUCAUCUGCGCGCGCUGGAAAGCCGUCAACCAAAGGAAAGCAGUCGAGCUGGAGUGCGGGUGGCACAGGUAAGCUGGUUCACUGCGCUCGGUGCAGCGCUGCUUGCGUGUCCCGAAUCCUUUCGACAGAUAGCGGAGCGGCUCGCGCCCUCGGAGCAGGAGGAGGUGCGUGCGGCCCUCCGCGAGAGCUUUGGCUUGAUGGACAAGGACUGGGAGGGGAAGUUUUCGGACGUCUGCGCAAUAGGUAACGAGCGGCUGCGCUGUCUCUUUGCCGAGGAGCUGAAGGCCUGCGCGAUGACGGAGCGCGGUGUGACCGGCACUUUCGAGCCGCUGCCCGGUGCAGACCGCCGAAUGACCAGGGGCGGUGGCGCGUCGGACGUGGCACCUCUGAGUAGUCGUGCGCUGCAGAACGCCUCAAUGCUGCUGCGUGAGUUUCUCUCGGUCGACGAAGCCCGCCUUCUGUCAUCAGGAGCAGCGCGAGAGUUGCCAGAAGACGCCGUCGCCGGUGCCGCUUCUACGCCAGUGCUCGCAGCUCUGCCUGAACUGGCGCGGCCGGCUAAUGCAAGUUGUGCGCCGUCUCCAGUGCUUGCUGGUGUCGAUGGGGGUGAUGAAAGCAGCGUUGCCCAUGCGACUGUGUCGCGGCGCGCCUGGCCCGGGCCACAGUGUGGCAGGGACCCUGUUGCUCACUUUCUCCGUCAGCGGCCGUACUGCAGAGACACCGAGGAGCGGCGCUGCGCCCUGCUGUCCUUGGCGGAGGCGCUACGCGCUGGCGGCCCUGGCGCUGAGAGGGAGAGGGGAGCGGACGUAUACCGCCCGGAUUGUGUACCAGAGGAUGUGGAGCGGCUUCUGGUGUACUGGGAGCGCGAGCUAUCCGGUGUGGAAGGGGCGACGCACCACAACGUGCGAUGGGCUAUGGUUAAGGCGUUGCAGGCACUCCUACAGUGGCCCGCUGCCAGAUCGGCCGUGUCGCGGCAGCUGACUCGCGUAUUUAGCAUCUGCCGCGCUGGCCUCGACGACCCUUUUUUGGAGGCACAGCUGCAGGCGGCGUGCUGCCUCGACACCCUUCUGACCGUUUGCAAGCCCCCAGCGGAUCUCUGCCUCAGCGCCAUCGCCAGUUGUGUAAUGCGGUGGUUGGAGGGUCCCAUGGGCGACGGCGCCACUUCAGGCUGGCUGGAACUUGUACACAUGAAUCUUCGAGUCGUCGAGCAAGCGCAGCCGACGCUAGCAGGGGUGAAGGGCACCAACAGACUAGCCUCUGUAGUGCUGCCAGACGAGACAGACUAUCAGCGUCAUCCCACCCUGACUGCUGCGGUACUCCAUCGAGUUGUAGCCGUGCUGAACUGCUGCCUCAACCAUUGUCACGUUUCUGUACGGUUGUGUGCUGUGCUGGUGCUUGUGGGGAUUCGGCGCGCAUUGGGGGAUGCCGUAACGCUACCGUUUCUGGCGCCGCUCUCUGCUGCUCACAUGCGCCUUGUUGACGUCUACCUGGACAAGGUGAUGGAGGAGCGUCCAUGGCGCCUUCUGACUUGACCAGCUUCACGCUGCGGAAUGGUGAUGUUGCUGGCGGCCGCACCACAACGCUACGCGACUGGUGCUACACAGCAAUGCUGCUGCAGUGGCACGAGUAUUCUCUUGAGGCAGCGAGAGCGUGCAGUUUGCUCGUUAAAAGCUUUCUUGUGCACCCCAACUUGUUCGGCUCGCCUCACUCACCCCCCCCUGCUCCCCCGUCGCAACGGCGUCUAGAGCCGUUUGGACGAGAGCGUCCACUUGGAUGUGCGUGGAUUCGCUUGUGCGUGUCUGGGGUCGUUUGAUCCUUCUCCAUCCUUUCACGCGUUAGCCUCACAUGCUGCACUAUCCUUCCUCCACGUGUGUGUGUGUGUGUGUGUGUGUCUGUGUGACGGCGGGAUGGAGACACGUGUGUUUUGUGCUGUUUUGCUGUGGCUCUGUUUACGCGCUCUGUAUCG